Molecule: ribosomal RNA, 484 nt
Filed under: uncultured bacterium
Lineage: Bacteria
Description: bacterial SSU rRNA
Rfam family: Bacterial small subunit ribosomal RNA
Source: RNAcentral
AAUUCGCCCUUAGAGUUUGAUCCUGGCUCAGAUUGAACGCUGGCGGCAUGCCUUACACAUGCAAGUCGAACGGUAACGCGGGGCAGCCUGGCGACGAGUGGCGAACGGGUGAGUAAUAUAUCGGAACGUGCCCAGUCGUGGGGGAUAACUGCUCGAAAGAGCAGCUAAUACCGCAUACGACCUGAGGGUGAAAGCGGGGGAUCUUCGGACCUCGCGCGAUUGGAGCGGCCGAUAUCAGAUUAGGUAGUUGGUGGGGUAAAGGCCUACCAAGCCGACGAUCUGUAGCUGGUCUGAGAGGACGACCAGCCACACUGGGACUGAGACACGGCCCAGACUCCUACGGGAGGCAGCAGUGGGGAAUUUUGGACAAUGGGGGCAACCCUGAUCCAGCCAUGCCGCGUGCGGGAAGAAGGCCUUCGGGUUGUAAACCGCUUUUGUCAGGGAAGAAAUCCUUUGGGCUAAUAACUCGGAGGGAUGACGGUAC